RNAcentral lists this ribosomal RNA (757 nucleotides) under uncultured cyanobacterium. Its description in RNAcentral is "bacterial SSU rRNA". It matches the Rfam family "Bacterial small subunit ribosomal RNA", at positions 28 to 829 of the family's 1533-position model. Lineage: Bacteria; Bacillati; Cyanobacteriota. The record is from RNAcentral.
GAUGAACGCUGGCGGUAUGCCUAACACAUGCAAGUCGAACGGAACCUUCGGGUUUAGUGGCGGACGGGUGAGUAACGCGUGAGAAUCUGCCUUCAGGAUGGGGACAACAAUUGGAAACGAUUGCUAAUACCCGAUAUGACGAAAGUUGAAAGAUUUAUCGCCUGGAGAUGAGCUCGCGUCAGAUUAGCUAGAUGGUGUGGUAAAGGCGCACCAUGGCGACGAUCUGUAGCUGGUCUGAGAGGAUGAGCAGCCACACUGGGACUGAGACACGGCCCAGACUCCUACGGGAGGCAGCAGUGGGGAAUUUUCCGCAAUGGGCGCAAGCCUGACGGAGCAAUACCGCGUGAGGGAGGAAGGCUCUUGGGUCGUAAACCUCUUUUCUCAGGGAAGAACGAAAUGACGGUACCUGAGGAAUCAGCAUCGGCUAACUCCGUGCCAGCAGCCGCGGUAAUACGGAGGAUGCAAGCGUUAUCCGGAAUGAUUGGGCGUAAAGCGUCCGUAGGUGGUUCUGUAAGUCUGUGGUUAAAGCGUGGGGCUCAACCCCAUAACGGCCAUGGAAACUACAAGACUUGAGUGAAGUAGGGGUAGAGGGAAUUCCCAGUGUAGCGGUGAAAUGCGUAGAGAUUGGGAAGAACACCGGUGGCGAAAGCGCUCUACUGGACUUAAACUGACACUGAGGGACGAAAGCUAGGGGAGCGAAAGGGAUUAGAUACCCCUGUAGUCCUAGCCGUAAACGAUGGAUACUAGGUGUUGCCCG